This 502-nucleotide ribosomal RNA is filed under the name uncultured bacterium. RNAcentral's name for it is "partial 16S ribosomal RNA". It matches the Rfam family "Bacterial small subunit ribosomal RNA", at positions 30 to 523 of the family's 1533-position model. The record is from RNAcentral.
AUUGAACGCUGGCGGCAGGCUUAACACAUGCAAGUCGAGCGGGGUGAUGGUGCUUGCACUAUCACUUAGCGGCGGACGGGUGAGUAAUGCUUAGGAAUCUGCCUAUUAGUGGGGGACAACAUCUCGAAAGGGAUGCUAAUACCGCAUACGUCCUACGGGAGAAAGCAGGGGAUCUUUAUGACCUUGCGCUAAUAGAUGAGCCUAAGUCGGAUUAGCUAGUUGGUGGGGUAAAGGCCUACCAAGGCGACGAUCUGUAGCGGGUCUGAGAGGAUGAUCCGCCAAACUGGGACUGAGAAACGGCCCAGACUCCUACGGGAGGCAGCAGUGGGGAAUAUUGGACAAUGGGGGGAACCCUGAUCCAGCCAUGCCGCGUGUGUGAAGAAGGCCUUAUGGUUGUAAAGCACUUUAAGCGAGGAGGAGGCUCUUUUGGUUAAUACCCAGAAUGAGUGGACGUUACUCGCAGAAUAAGCACCGGCUAACUCUGUGCCAGCCGCCGCAGUAA